This 667-nucleotide ribosomal RNA is filed under the name Olea europaea subsp. europaea. RNAcentral describes it as "Microsporidia small subunit ribosomal RNA". It matches the Rfam family "Eukaryotic small subunit ribosomal RNA", at positions 1246 to 1823 of the family's 1831-position model. The record is from Rfam by way of RNAcentral. Lineage: Eukaryota; Viridiplantae; Streptophyta; Magnoliopsida; Lamiales; Oleaceae.
GAUUAGUAAAAGUCGAACCAAAACACAAGAAAAUUCAUAAGAAAACUCUCAAGGUAAGUGGGCACCAUGUGGGAUUUUCUCUCAAUAGGUUGAGAGCAUCUCUCUCUAACUCACUUUUACUGAGAGAUCUUUUUAGAUUCUACGGGUGGUGGUGCAUGGCCAUUUUUAGUUGGUGAAGCAAUUUAUCUGGUUAAUUUCGUUAACGAACGAGACCUCAGUCUGCUAACUAGCUAUGCCGAUGUAACCUUUCGUGGCCAGCUUCUUAGAGGGACGAUGACCUUUUAGGCUGUUGAAGUUUGAGACAAUAACAUGUCUGUGAUGCCUUAGAUGUUCUGGGCCACAAGCGCACUACAUUAAUGUAUUCAACGAGGCGCCGACAGGUCCGAGUAAUCUUUGAAAUUUCAUCGUGAUGGGGAUAAAUCAUUGUAAUUCUUGGUCUUCAACGAGGAAUUCCUAGUAAGCGUAAGUCAUCAGUUCAUGUUGACUUCAUCCCUACCCUUUAUACACAAUGCCCGUCACUCCUACUGAUUGAAUGUUCUAGUGAAGUGUUCAUAUCGCAUCGACGUGGGCGGUCUGCUGCCCUCGACGUCACGAGAAGUCCACUGAACCUUAUCAUUUAGAGAAAGGAGAAGUCGUAACAAGGUUUUUGUAAGUGAAUCUAUGGAAG